GACGAAGGUGACGACCGUUGCUCGGAAUCACUGGGCAUAAAGCGCGCGUAGGUGGCUUGGUAAGUCCAUGGCGAAAUCCCUCGGCUCAACCGAGGAAGUGCCGUGGAUACUGCCGAGCUUGAGGACGGGAGGGGUGAGUGGAACUCUCGGUGUAGCGGUGAAAUGCGUAGAUAUCGAGAGGAACGCCGGUGGCGAAAGCGACUCACUGGACCGUAUCUGACACUGAGGCGCGAAAGCUAGGGGAGCAAACAGG
Molecule: ribosomal RNA, 253 nt
Filed under: uncultured bacterium
Lineage: Bacteria
Description: partial 16S ribosomal RNA
Rfam family: Bacterial small subunit ribosomal RNA
Source: RNAcentral